ACCGCUGUAUUCCGCAAAUUCUUUGCAUAGGAUUUAUUGGACUUGUCUGUUUUUCUUAACUUUGUUUUUCUAUGCGUCUUAUGCAGUGCUUCUAUCUGAGGCCAUGCUGCUGUGAUGAGGAGAGAGGAGAGGGUGAAGUGGUAUUUAUUCUGAUGUGAUGGGUAGAGAGGAGAGGGUGAAGUGGUAUUUAUUCUGAUGUGAUGGGUAGAGAGGAGAGGGUGAAGUGGUAUUUAUUCUGAUAUGAGAGGGUGAAGUGGUAUUUAUUCUGAUAUGAGAGGGUGAAUGGUAUUUUAUUCUGAUGUGAUGGGUAGAGAGGAGAGGGUGAAGUGGUAUUUAUUCUGAUGUGAUGGGUAGAGAGGAGAGGGUGAAGUGGUAUUUAUUCUGAUAUGAGAGGGUGAAGUGGUAUUUAUUCUGAUGUGAUGGGUAGAGAGGAGAGGGUGAAGUGGUAUUUAUUCUGAUGUGAUGGGUAGAGAGGAGAGGGUGAAGUGGUAUUUAUUCUGAUAUGA
Clupea harengus (Atlantic herring) is the source of this 506-nucleotide long non-coding RNA. The record is from Ensembl. Lineage: Eukaryota; Metazoa; Chordata; Actinopteri; Clupeiformes; Clupeidae.